RNAcentral lists this non-coding RNA (25 nucleotides) under Arabidopsis thaliana (thale cress). The record is from RNAcentral. Lineage: Eukaryota; Viridiplantae; Streptophyta; Magnoliopsida; Brassicales; Brassicaceae.
GUUGACCCGGCCAAAUCGACUCACC